GCCAGCAGGCAUAUCACCCUGCAGCCCAAGACUGGUUGCCCACUGAAGCCAAGCAGGGUUGAGCCUGGUCAGUACCUGGAAAACUCCUGGGAAAACUAGGUUGCUGCUGGAA
This 112-nucleotide ribosomal RNA is filed under the name Sinocyclocheilus rhinocerous. The record is from RNAcentral. Lineage: Eukaryota; Metazoa; Chordata; Actinopteri; Cypriniformes; Cyprinidae.